GAUGAACGCUGGCGGCGUGCCUAACACAUGCAAGUCGAGCGAUUCUCUUCGGAGAAGGGCGGCGGACGGGUGAGUAACGCGUGGGUAACCUGCCCUGUACACACGGAUAACAUACCGAAAGGUAUGCUAAUACGAGAUGAUAUAUUUUUAUUGCAUGAUAAAAAUAUCAAAGCUUUUGCGGUACAGGAUGGGCCCGCGUCUGAUUAGCUAGUUGGUAAGGUAACGGCUUACCAAGGCGACGAUCAGUAGCCGACCUGAGAGGGUGAUCGGCCACACUGGAACUGAGACACGGUCCAGACUCCUACGGGAGGCAGCAGUGGGGAAUAUUGCACAAUGGGCGAAAGCCUGAUGCAGCAACGCCACGUGAGCGAUGAAGGCCUUCGGGUCGUAAAGCUCUGUCCUCAAGGAAGAUAAUGACGGUACUUGAGGAGGAAGCCCCGGCUAACUACGUGCCAGCAGCCGCGGUAAUACGUAGGGGGCUAGCGUUAUCCGGAAUUACUGGGCGUAAAGAGUGCGUAGGCGGUCUUUCAAGCCAGAAGUGAAAGGCUACGGCUCAACCGUAGUAAGCUUUUGGAACUGUAGGACUUGAGUGCAGGAGAGGAGAGUGGAAUUCCUAGUGUAGCGGUGAAAUGCGUAGAUAUUAGGAGGAACACCAGUAGCGAAGGCGGCUCUCUGGACUGUAACUGACGCUGAGGCACGAAAGCGCGGGGAGCAAACAGGAUUAGAUACCCUGGUAGUCCACGCCGUAAACGAUGAGUACUAGGUGUCGGGGGUUACCCCCCUCGGUGCCGCAGCUAACGCAUUAAGUACUCCGCCUGGGAAGUACGCUCGCAAGAGUGAAACUCAAAGGAAUUGACGGGGACCCGCACAAGUAGCGGAGCAUGUGGUUUAAUUCGAAGCAACGCGAAGAACCUUACCUAAGCUUGACAUCCCAUUGACCUCUCCCUAAUCGGAGAUUUCCCUUCGGGGACAGUGGUGACAGGUGGUGCAUGGUUGUCGUCAGCUCGUGUCGUGAGAUGUUGGGUUAAGUCCCGCAACGAGCGCAACCCUUGCCUUUAGUUGCCAGCAUUAAGUUGGGCACUCUAGAGGGACUGCCGAGGAUAACUCGGAGGAAGGUGGGGAUGACGUCAAAUCAUCAUGCCCCUUAUGCUUAGGGCUACACACGUGCUACAAUGGGUGGUACAGAGGGUUGCCAAACCGUGAGGUGGAGCUAAUCCCUUAAAGCCAUUCUCAGCUCGGAUUGUAGGCUGAAACUCGCCUACAUGAAGCUGGAGUUACUAGUAAUCGCAGAUCAGAAUGCUGCGGUGAAUGCGUUCCCGGGUCU
This 1324-nucleotide ribosomal RNA is filed under the name uncultured bacterium. RNAcentral describes it as "bacterial SSU rRNA". It matches the Rfam family "Bacterial small subunit ribosomal RNA", at positions 28 to 1381 of the family's 1533-position model. The record is from RNAcentral.